CCGUGCUAGACGGGGAGGUAGCGGUGCCCUGUACCCGCAAUCCGCUACAGCGGGGUUGAACUCCCGUCCCGAGGGUUUGGCUUGUGGGGUCCGGCUUCUGUAAGGGGCGUUGACGGCUGGGUCUUGCGCGACGGAGCCUUCUGAACCGUGUCAGGUCCUGACGGAAGCAGCACUAAGGAAGUAAUUCCGGGUGCCGCAAGGGUGCCUGGUCCGAGUUACCUGCAGGAGUAACGCUUGGAAGCCAUUAUUCGACGGCGGGUGCGCGG
Molecule: signal recognition particle RNA, 266 nt
Filed under: Desulfallas sp. Bu1-1
Lineage: Bacteria; Bacillati; Bacillota; Clostridia; Eubacteriales; Desulfallaceae
Description: signal recognition particle sRNA large type
Rfam family: Bacterial large signal recognition particle RNA
About the family: The signal recognition particle (SRP) is a universally conserved ribonucleoprotein involved in the co-translational targeting of proteins to membranes.
Source: RNAcentral